RNAcentral lists this ribosomal RNA (369 nucleotides) under uncultured Actinomycetes bacterium. RNAcentral describes it as "bacterial SSU rRNA". It matches the Rfam family "Bacterial small subunit ribosomal RNA", at positions 277 to 658 of the family's 1533-position model. The record is from RNAcentral. Lineage: Bacteria; Bacillati; Actinomycetota; Actinomycetes.
CGACGGGUAGCCGGCCUGAGAGGGUGUCCGGCCACACUGGGACUGAGAUACGGCCCAGACUCCUACGGGAGGCAGCAGUGGGGAAUAUUGCACAAUGGGCGCAAGCCUGAUGCAGCGACGCCGCGUGGGGGAUGACGGCCUUCGGGUUGUAAACCUCUUUCAGUAGGGACGAAGCGCAAGUGACGGUACCUACAGAAGAAGGACCGGCCAACUACGUGCCAGCAGCCGCGGUAAUACGUAGGGUCCGAGCGUUGUCCGGAAUUACUGGGCGUAAAGAGCUCGUAGGUGGUUUGUCGCGUUGUUCGUGAAAUCUCACAACUCAAUUGUGAGCGUGCGGGCGAUACGGGCAGACUGGAGUACUGCAGGGGA